UGAUUGUCCAAACGCAAUUCUUGUUCAAUUGUAAACUUCAAGAACUGUGUAUGGACAUCAGU
Molecule: microRNA precursor, 62 nt
Filed under: Patiria miniata (bat star)
Lineage: Eukaryota; Metazoa; Echinodermata; Asteroidea; Valvatida; Asterinidae
Description: Pmi-Mir-219_pre stem-loop
Rfam family: mir-219 microRNA precursor family
About the family: The hairpin precursors (represented here) are predicted based on base pairing and cross-species conservation -- their extents are not known. In this case the mature sequence is excised from the 5' arm of the hairpin.
Source: RNAcentral